UUUACAUCCCCGGGGAGCCGAAGGCUGAGAGGUGGCGCUGCGAUGCCCACGACCCGCUGAACCUGAUCCGGCUCGCACCGGCGUAGGGAGGGAACGCCGCCAGCGG
This 106-nucleotide non-coding RNA is filed under the name Rhizorhabdus wittichii. Its description in RNAcentral is "Sphingomonas wittichii TPP sequence". It matches the Rfam family "TPP riboswitch aptamer (THI element)". From Rfam's summary of the family: Vitamin B(1) in its active form thiamin pyrophosphate (TPP) is an essential coenzyme that is synthesised by coupling of pyrimidine and thiazole moieties in bacteria. Lineage: Bacteria; Pseudomonadati; Pseudomonadota; Alphaproteobacteria; Sphingomonadales; Rhizorhabdaceae. The record is from RNAcentral. RNAcentral also lists the same sequence under 1 other name.